GCUUGUCUCAAAGAUUAAGCCAUGCAUGUCUAAGUAUAAACAAAUCUAUACGUGAAACUGCGAAUGGCUCAUUAUAUCAGUUAUAGUUUAUUUGAUGGUUCUUGCUACUUGGAUAACCGUAGUAAUUCUAGAGCUAAUACAUGCGUCAAACCUCGACUUCUGGGAGAGGUGUAUUUAUUAGAUAUACCGAGUAGGUGAAUCAUAAUAACUUCGCAAAUCGCAGUAAUACUGCGAUAAAUCAUUCAAGUUUCUGCCCUAUCAUGCUCUCGAUGGUAGUGUAUUGGACUACCAUGGCUCUCACGGGUAACGGGGAAUUAGGGUUCGAUUCCGGAGAAGGAGCCUGAGAAACGGCUACUACAUCUAAGGAAGGCAGCAGG
Molecule: ribosomal RNA, 377 nt
Filed under: uncultured Didiniidae
Lineage: Eukaryota; Ciliophora; Litostomatea; Haptorida; Didiniidae
Description: partial small subunit ribosomal RNA
Rfam family: Eukaryotic small subunit ribosomal RNA
Source: RNAcentral